RNAcentral lists this ribosomal RNA (253 nucleotides) under uncultured bacterium. Its description in RNAcentral is "partial 16S ribosomal RNA". It matches the Rfam family "Bacterial small subunit ribosomal RNA", at positions 524 to 776 of the family's 1533-position model. The record is from RNAcentral.
UACGUAGGUGACCAGCGUUGUCCGGAUUUACUGGGCGUAAAGAGCGCGCAGGCGGUCGUUCAAGUCGAGUGUGAAAGCCCCCGGCUCAACUGGGGAGGGUCACUCGAUACUGAUCGACUUGAAGGCAGGAGAGGGAAGCGGAAUUCCCGGUGUAGUGGUGAAAUGCGUAGAUAUCGGGAGGAACACCAGUGGCGAAGGCGGCUCACUGGCCCGUUACCGACGCUCAGGCGCGACAGCGUGGGGAGCAAACAGG